UCAAUGCAGAUGAAAAGAAUAACACCCAAAAAGAAGAAAUAACACCAAGGUCCAAAGUGAUGCAAAAAUUGCCGCACAAAACUACGGAAAGGCCCCAAAAAAGCUACUUGUUGCCAGAGCUCGAGUCUCCCCCCCCUGCGUGCGGCUGGAGCUGAGAACAGGGGAGCGAGCGAUAGAAGAGACGAGGCAGCAAGCGCAGAGUGAAGGAGAGAAAAGCUCGACUGAUGAUGAAAUAGGAGGUGCGGUGGAGCACGAGAGCCAGCCACUUUUUCAUCACACGUCCAACACGGCAAGGAACUGUAUAUGCACUUGAGAGAGGGAGGGUGGGAGACGGAGACCAAGAGGGAAAGAGAGAGAGAGAGAGAGAGAGAGAGAGAGAGAGGGAGAGAGAGAGGGAGAGAGAGAGAGGGAGAGAGAGAGAGGGAGAGAGACGGGGGAGAGAGAGAGAGAGACGGGGGAGAGUGGGAGGGCGGAAAGCAAUCGAGGGUGGGAGGGGGUAGAGGAGGAAGAAUGACACAGAAAUGCACUCCUCUGGCAGUGCGCAGACGCAGUGCACACAGUCACGCCAUACUAGCACUCUCUGCACCCCGGCAAUCAGCUACAGAAAAGAGCAUUCAAAAUAAGGAAACGAAAAAAAGAGAACGUACAAACACUCAGAGUGGACUGCCCUGCAUAAGGACAUUUGAAAUAUGCAACAGUUCUGAGAGCAGGUUAAAUGAUUAACCUUAUCUGGUACAGUACAGUACAGUACUGCAGCUCUCCCUCUCGUCAAGCUGCAACAGUCUGUCUGGAUCACAUGCUACAGCCAGCCACGGCUCACAGACAGAAAGUAUGAACUCUAGCAUGCCACAGCAGCUAGCGUGAAAGCAGCAUUGAGAAGACAAAGAGCAGAUAUGGAAAAAUGGGAGCUACUUGAGUAUAGUACUGUAGUGAAGCACGUGGCAGGGUAGAGAGCGGGGUUAGUAGAGUUACAGCACAGUAAGACGGUCCUCUUCCUGCCCUGGCUCUGCUUCUCCGAGGGGCUAAACAUCGCACGACCCUUACAGCGAUCUUGGCAAGGAGUCAAAAGCCUGAUAAGCGUUUUGGGUGAGACCUCACUGCUUUUCUAGAAGAAAAACAGCUGCUGUGAUUACAACGUGAUUGAGAAUUCACAGAAAACACGAGUGGUUCUGAUUUGUCCUGGCUAAAAAGGCACAGGAUAGCUUGUCCAAAUAGGAAAAGAUUGUUGAGUAUAUUUGCUUCUAAACUAUCCCUUACCCUGGAAUCAUCUAGAAUCCUGCAUUGUGGGGCGCUCCACCCGCCCUACACCCUGCCGUUUGCGCGUGCGCACACACACACACACACACACACACACUACAAAACAGCACGGCAGACCAGUCCUCCACCAUCUUAGUACAUACCGAUUAUCAUUUUGAUUUUCGUUUUUUUUUCUAUCUCUGUCUUUUUCAUACUUCCUCUUUCCCUCCCUCUCUCUGCCCCACCACCUUCUCCACCGUGCGACCAGCGUUGGGCUUUUCCCAUUUGUGGCAGAUUACUAUAACACUAUUGUAAAACAACUUCCUGCCUCUUUUGGCUCUGGUUCCAAAUAACGGCACAGGCUGGGCUCACACGCUUGAACUUUUUCCCCCCUCUCUGUCCCGAAGUAUCAGGAGCUCUAAAUAGGAAAGACAGAAAAGGGAAAAACGGUCAAAUCUCUGCACGUCUCCUGUUCUGGACUUAUUUUGAUGCCUUAUGUCUUUAAUGCCAGAUGAAAAGUAUAGCAGGGGAUUGCAUGCCUAGCAGAGAAAAAGGUGGGGGAAACUAUUAUUUUGCUUCUUUUACUGUGUGUAGCUUUCUGUUGGUUUGUGGAUGACAUUGUGCUGUUAGGUUAGCUCAGACGGGACAAGCCAACAUGGCUGCUCCUGUUUUGGGCUCUCAUCUCAUCUGCAGAGUGGGUCUUUGAGGAGCACUUUCCUAACGCCACCACCCGUUCGUUCCUCGCUGGCUCCCUCGCUAGAACAGCACGGCAACAGACGACCGGUUCCUCCGCUCGCUUACUCCGAGGACUCUCCCCUCUCCUCUCCGCCUCGCUUCACAACAAGGUUCAAUAAGACACAGGUGGCUACAUUCAAUGGACCUGCCGCUAGCAGGGACAAAAAAAAAAAACACUCUUUGUGUUUACUUACUGAAGAAAUGGUCCAGCUGAGUUAGGGCGUUAUUAGCAGUCUUUACAGUCUUCUUUUUAAAAACGAGAUACACUGGGUUGGAUGUGUCGGCCUGAGCUACAGUAGAUCCCUAGAACCCUAUCCAAAGCAGUGUAGCCUCACGUCACAUCUCGCCAUGUGUUUUUAGCCAAUUGAAAAAUCCACGUCUUUGGUUUUAACCAUAUACAUUGACACAUACUGUGGCUACGGUAGAUGUAUAUUAAGAUUGUGUAUUUGAUUGUAUGCCCUCUUCAGGUUCUGUAGAGGAUGUAGGAGAGAAAUGGACAUGUAACUAUGAAUCUGUUUGAGAUGUGGUUGGUUUGGAACUGUCUGCAGUUAUCAUUUAGCUUAGCGUGCACUUAAGAGUUUGCAACGGGUUCACUUGAGGAUAGGGUUUUGGUUUUGGGUGGCCUGCCAAUUUUCUACCACUGUGUGCCUCUACCUCGCUUCCCCUCUUCUCUACUUGGGUUGCAUUUGUCUGUAAUUAAUCACAUGCCGUUUUAUUUCAUCUAUACCUUGUGUUUUACAUUUGUAAAUGACCCCAACCAUGCUUUCUUUAAACACUUUUCAAAUAAUAAAUUAAGCAAUGUUAACAUGG
This is a long non-coding RNA of Oncorhynchus kisutch (coho salmon), 2781 nucleotides long. RefSeq lists it as uncharacterized. The transcript has 2 exons. NCBI's taxonomy places the organism in Eukaryota, Metazoa, Chordata, Actinopteri, Salmoniformes, Salmonidae. The record is from RefSeq and is a predicted model, not a curated record.